CGGAAUUUUACACUUAGAUCUGGCAAAAUGAUCGGCCCUUAUUUCUCCCAGUUUUCUUUAUCGACUGCCUGAAAGUGAAAUCAAAGGAUGGUGUGGCCUUCUCCACAGAGGAAGAACAAUUCCAAUGUCCCACAUCCCAACAGCUAGCGCAUUAAAUAAAUCAAGAUUCCCAGCAGCCUCCAGCAUACUAAAGAUAAAACAUCAAGGAAGAACUUGAGACCAAAGUCAUGAAAUGCAGACAGACAUUCUAUGAGGUAUUUAUUUGCAACGAUUAGGUUUGCUUGCUCAGCGUCAGGUCACCAAAGACAAAUGUUCAGGCUCCCGGUGGAUCCGAACCAAAGUUCAUACAGUUUGGCCACUUUAGGAUGGCAAGCAUUUGGAGAGGAGAGGAUCACCUUA
This is a long non-coding RNA of Leopardus geoffroyi (Geoffroy's cat), 399 nucleotides long. RefSeq lists it as uncharacterized. The transcript is spliced from 2 exons. NCBI's taxonomy places the organism in Eukaryota, Metazoa, Chordata, Mammalia, Carnivora, Felidae. The record is from RefSeq and is a predicted model, not a curated record.